AUUGAACGCUGGCGGCAUGCUUUACACAUGCAAGUCGAACGGCAGCGCGGGCUUCGGCCUGGCGGCGAGUGGCGAACGGGUGAGUAAUGCAUCGGAACGUGCCCAGUAGUGGGGGAUAGCCCUGCGAUAGCCGGAUUAAUACCGCAUACGACCUGAGGGUGAAAGCGGGGGACCGAAAGGCCUCGCGCUAUUGUAGCUGCCGAUGUCGGAUUAGCUAGUUGGUGGGGUAAAGGCUUACCAAGGCGACGAUCCGUAGCUGGUCUGAGAGGACGACCAGCCACACUGGGACUGAGACGCGGCCCAGACUCCUACGGGAGGCAGCAGUGGGGAAUUUUGGACAAAGGGGGCAACCCUGAUCCAGCCAUGCCGCGUGCGGGAAGAAGGCCUUCGGGUUGUAAACCGAUUUUGUUCGGGAAGAAAUCCUCUGGGCUAAUACCCCGGGGGGAUGACGGUACCGGAAGAAUAAGCACCGGCUAACUACGUG
Molecule: ribosomal RNA, 484 nt
Filed under: uncultured bacterium
Lineage: Bacteria
Description: partial 16S ribosomal RNA
Rfam family: Bacterial small subunit ribosomal RNA
Source: RNAcentral